UGGGGAAUAUUGGACAAUGGGGGCAACCCUGAUCCAGCCAUGCCGCGUGAGUGAUGAAGGCCUUAGGGUUGUAAAGCUCUUUUGGCAGGGACGAUAAUGCCGGUACCUGCAGAAUAAGCCCCGGCUAACUUCGUGCCAGCAGCCGCGGUAAUACGAAGGGGGCUAGCGUUGUUCGGAAUUACUGGGCGUAAAGCGCGCGUAGGCGGACUGGUCAGUUGGGGGUGAAAUCCCGAGGCUUAACCUCGGAACUGCCUUCAAAACUGCCAGUCUUGAGUCCGGGAGAGGUGAGCGGAAUUCCUAGUGUAGAGGUGAAAUUCGUAGAUAUUAGGAAGAACACCAGUGGCGAAGGCGGCUCACUGGCCCGGUACUGACGCUGAGGUGCGAAAGCGUGGGGAGCAAACAGGAUUAGAUACCCGCGUAGUCC
Molecule: ribosomal RNA, 424 nt
Filed under: uncultured prokaryote
Description: bacterial SSU rRNA
Rfam family: Bacterial small subunit ribosomal RNA
Source: RNAcentral